This 301-nucleotide ribosomal RNA is filed under the name uncultured bacterium. RNAcentral's name for it is "bacterial SSU rRNA". It matches the Rfam family "Bacterial small subunit ribosomal RNA", at positions 1082 to 1382 of the family's 1533-position model. The record is from RNAcentral.
AAGUCCCGCAACGAGCGCAACCCCUGCCCCUAGUUGCUAACCCGCGAGGGUGCACUCUAGGGGGACUGCCUCCGGUCAAGGAGGAGGAAAGUCGGGGAUAACGUCAAGUCAUCAUGGUCCUUAUGCCCAGGGCUACACACGUCCUACAGUGGCCGUUACAAUGGGAAGCUACAUCGCGAGGUGAUGCCAAGUCCUGUAAAGCGGCCAUGGUUCGGAUUGCAGGCUGCAACUCGCCUGCAUGAAGAUGGAAUCGCUAGUAAUCACUGAUCAGCAUGCAGUGGUGAAUACGUUCCCGGGUCUU